AGUGAACGCUGGCGGUAGGCCUAACACAUGCAAGUCGAACGGCAGCACAGUAAGAGCUUGCUCUUACGGGUGGCGAGUGGCGGACGGGUGAGGAAUACAUCGGAAUCUACUUUUUCGUGGGGGAUAACGUAGGGAAACUUACGCUAAUACCGCAUACGACCUACGGGUGAAAGCAGGGGAUCUUCGGACCUUGCGCGAUUGAAUGAGCCGAUGUCGGAUUAGCUAGUUGGCGGGGUAAAGGCCCACCAAGGCGACGAUCCGUAGCUGGUCUGAGAGGAUGAUCCGCCACACUGGGACCUAGGCAACGUCCCGACUCCUUAGGGAGGCAAGAAUUGGGAAAUUUGGACAAUGGGGGGAAGCCUGAUCCAGCCAUACCGCGUGGGUGAAGAAGGCCUUCGGGUUGUAAAGCCCUUUUGUUGGGAAAGAAAAGCAGCAGGUUAAUACCCCGCUGUUCUGACGGUACCCAAAGAAUAAGCACCGGCUAACUUCGUG
Molecule: ribosomal RNA, 492 nt
Filed under: uncultured bacterium
Lineage: Bacteria
Description: partial 16S ribosomal RNA
Rfam family: Bacterial small subunit ribosomal RNA
Source: RNAcentral